AUCAUAUUUCUAAGUAAGAACAAAAUUAAAAUACCCGUUCAUUACUAAGUGGGCACUCGUUCUCUCUCCCCGUUAACCCCAAUUGAAGAAUAGCGAUUGGAGGUCCGAAAAAUCCCUAGAAAAAUUCCAUCAAUUACCUUCGAUUCUUACUGUAUUUCCAGUUUAUUCUCUUUGAUUUAUCACCGAAAUCAUCUCUUGUUCUGUAUGUUGUGGGUUUUAUGGUUAUUUACAAUUGAUUUGCUGAUGUUAUCAAUUACGAUUUGAAGAUUCGAGUUGGUUUUUUGGGAAGAUUGUCAACGACUAAUGUUAUUGGACUGUGUAUGACUCAAGAGUUGCAGUUUGCAGGAAUAGAAACCAACAAAUGUUUCCAAUUGCCUGGGCUAUUGUAGACAAAGAGACCAAGUAUAGCUGGUCAUUUUUCAUUACCUGAUAGAAGAUCUUCAAUUAGGAAGUGGACAAGGGCUUACUAUGAUGUCAGAUAUGCAGAAGGGGCUUGUGCCAACUAUACUUGAGCUUCUGCCUAACUGUGAGUACAUGAUGUGUGCAAGAAACAUCUGGUCCAACUGGCAGCAAUACUGAAAAGGAGAGGAGAUGAGAAAGCAAUUUUAGAGAUAUGCUAAAUCAAGUUAUGAAGUGAAAUUAAAAGAGAAGAUGACAAAACUUGAUAAGUUCGGUAAGAAUAUUUGUGAAGACUUGUUAAAAUACAGAAACAAAAUAUGGUGUAGGGCAUACUUUAAAAAGCAUGCCAAGUGUGACAUUAUUAAAAAUAAUAUGUGCGAUACUUUUAACUCCUGAAUUUUAGCUCCUAGACACAAAUCAAUUAUCACUAUGUUGGAGGAAAUUAGAAGGAAAAUAAUGACUAGAAAUGUUGAAAUGUUAAAAUUUGCUGAAACUUGAA
Non-coding RNA from Nicotiana tabacum (common tobacco), 898 nucleotides. The record is from RefSeq and is a predicted model, not a curated record. NCBI's taxonomy places the organism in Eukaryota, Viridiplantae, Streptophyta, Magnoliopsida, Solanales, Solanaceae.